This 255-nucleotide ribosomal RNA is filed under the name uncultured bacterium. Its description in RNAcentral is "partial 16S ribosomal RNA". It matches the Rfam family "Bacterial small subunit ribosomal RNA", at positions 524 to 776 of the family's 1533-position model. The record is from RNAcentral.
GACAUAGGUGGCGAACGUUAUCCGGAAUUAUUGGGCGUAAAGGAUGCGUAGAUGGUGUGAUAAGUUAUCAGUGGCAAAUCGGGGCUCAACCUCGUGGAAGCUGUUAAUACCGUUGUGCUUGAGUUCAGGAGAAGUUAACGGAACUCCAUGUGGAGCGGUAAAAUGUGACGAUAUAUGGAAGAACACCGAUAAGGCGAAGGCAGUUAACUAUUCUGUUACUGACAUUGAGGCAUGAAAGCGUGGGUAGCAAACAGG